Long non-coding RNA from Brassica rapa (field mustard), 5622 nucleotides. RefSeq lists it as uncharacterized. The record is from RefSeq and is a predicted model, not a curated record. NCBI's taxonomy places the organism in Eukaryota, Viridiplantae, Streptophyta, Magnoliopsida, Brassicales, Brassicaceae.
CAGAAUUUUAUCACGGUUUCACAAAAAUAAUCUUUGAAGGAGACAACAAGAAAAUGGUUGGACAUACUUACCUCAAAGGUUCUGCGGUUUAGUUUAUAUAAUUGGGUGAGAGAAAUAAGAUGGUGGAUGAAUAAAUUCAAAGAUACUGAGCUUAGAUGGAUAUGCAUACAUGGCAAUAUGGUUGCAGACAAGCUAGCAAAAGAUAAUAUCCCUGCAGAGAGUUCUUUUCAAUCUUAUAAAUUAUGUUCCUAGAUUUGUAACUCAAUACUUGCAUCAAGACUCUGUAAGUUCAGUUGUGCAUUAAUAAUAAGAUGGAAGUUACUAAAAAAGUGUUUGAAAUAUUUUUAGUUAAACUCUAUAUAUCUUUAGCGAAAGAAUUAUAAUACAAUACAAAUUUUAGAAACUAAAAUGUUUGAAAUAUUUUUAUUUUAUUUUAUUUUAAAACAUUUAUUUUCAGUUUUGUAUAUUUUUAGUUAAACUAUAUAUAUUUUAUAUUUUCAAAUUUUGUAUAUACUAUUAUAUGCUGUUUGUAUAAUUCGAAUAUAUAUAAUCUAAAGCUUAAAACAAUUUCAUUUGUAACUCAACACAUGAAAGCUAUAAAGUUUUUAAAGUAAAAAAAAAAAGAAAUAAAUUUACUUUAAAUAAAAUAAAAUAAAUAGUUCUAAACAAAUUUGAUAGAUUUUUUUCAUUUUAUUUAGUUAUCUAACAAUAUUAAAAGGAGAAUAAGCUCAAAGGAGAGCUAUGCCACAUAGGAUUAAAAAAAUCGACCAAUUAUGAAGCUCUAUUAUGCCAUGUCACUCAUUUUGUAGUCGAAAUAGAAUGUUAACUCUCAUAUGGGCUGAUAAUAAAGAAAAUUGGCCCAUUAAUAAAGAGUCCAGCUCUCCAUCCAAUUUCAAUUUCCAUCACCGUAGUCUCCGGUUCUUACAGUUCACGGACGACGUUUCCAAUCGCUGCAAUUAACCGUUUAAUUACGACCCAUUCGAUGUCAUUCAAUUACAUUAUUAAAACUUUAAUCCUACCUUCAUAGCUCACUCGCUCUCAUUCUGAUUUUUCUCUUCAUCUCCCCCAGAGUGCUUUCAGAUGUGAGAGAUGAAAUAUAAAUAUCAAAACUCUUAUGCUUACAAAAUAAAAAUAAAAGUCGCAUUCAAGAGGAAGACAUAAAGAAGUUCGAGUUUUAGGUCUUUUAGUUCUUUGAUUCUUCUAUUUUUCUGAUUUUUUUUUUAUUUUUCCAUUCUUUGAUUCUUUAUUUCAAUUAGGUUAAACCCUCGUGUCAUUAUGUUUAUUUCUUUGAGAGGCUUUCAGGUGAUUCUAAGAUGAGGGAUAUGCUCUUAUAUCUUUGAGAUCCUCUUCACCUGCUCAAAAAUCUCUUCCCCUUCAGACUUUUCUCAGUUUUACACUAUUGCGAGGGAAUCUCAAGACUCAGCAGAUGACUCAAGUGUAAGCUUAAUAGUUAAUAAUAUUUUUUUUUUAAAAUAUUACCCUGUUUGAUGUGUGUUUUGCUUCUCUAAUCCAGUUAUGGUUUUUAUGACGAUGUUUCAGGAAGUACGAGAAUGCACCUGGACCUUUUCGAUUAUCUUCCCCUCAUCAGACGUAACUACACCAUUUAUCACCUUCUCCCUUUUUUGUGUCCAGGUCCUUAGUUCGGAUUGAAUUUGAAUAUGAGUUUUUGAUGGGUCUCUCCCUCCUUCCGCUCUCAAGGUUCAAGUGCUAACUUCCAAAUUACUAUUAGGUUGUUUUCUCAAAGAGCAAAAUAAUAACUUAUUGGUUAUCUAUUUGGAGUAUGUCUAGGUGCAACAUGAAGGACCAAUUUGUGAUUUAUGGUCUGGUCCCCUUGAUCGAUGUGGGUUAUUGGUAAUGGUUAUUAUUUGGACCAGACCAAUUUCAGUGACAACAAUGGACGCAGUCUCAUAACAAGAGCACAUCAGCUUCUCAUGGAAGGAUUUAACUGGUGGCAUGUCAUGUAUGCUCAUCUCAAUUGCUCAAGGCUCUGCCAAAGGCAUGAUUGGUCAGUCCAUCUUAUCAUAACUGUGGAUUGAAUCACUGAUCUUUCAAAAAAUUUAUGGUAACAGGAAAAGAAUGUGGUGACAGUGUUUUAGUGCACCAAAUUAUUGCUACCGGUGUGGAAACUAAGCAACGAUUGUAGAGAUAUGAGGAGCAGAUUUCCUCCAGUUUGAUCCAGCUCCCCAACAAGCCGAGAUACCGUUGAUCCUAUAACCUACACAACGGCAACUGAUCAGCAUGGAAAAGAGAAUCAGGCUGGGUUACUAAACACAACUGAGAGCUUUCCUUUAUCUCCAUCUGGUAUGUUUCUAACAUCAAUAUUCUCCAAGCGAACUAGCAUGUCUUUGAAAAAACACAAGACUGAAUUAUAAACAAUAAGAAACCCUGAAGAAACUAACUCAACAACUUCCACCUCUUGAAAUUGAAUUAGAUGCAGGGAAUUCUCUUUUGCGGUUGAUUCUUUGGCAAAACAUUAGAAGCAUAAGGCACAGUUGUGUCAUGUGCAGGUAUAUUGCACCGGCUUUCCAGUAACUUCUACCAAAUGUUUACUCCCAUUGUGCAGUUGUAUUAAAAACUAAGUAUCGAGGUUGUUACCUUUUCCUCGGUCAGAAUCUUUGUAAUCAUGCUUCUCCAAAUUACUACAGUAAGCUACCGGGUGGAGCUGAUGUGUGUGCCAAAUAAGAUCAACAUCAUAAGUCAGAACGCGCCAAACCAUUUAAAAAAAUGUACCACAGAACCGUUCUCAGUUUUUUACAUAUAGAAACAUCGUGGAUUGUUUCCUUAGUCUCACUUAUUUUAAAACAGAACCAAAACUGGAGAAAACAACAAGUGAUCAAAGCUCUGAGCUUUAUUCAAAAUGUCUCAAUAAAUUUACCAUAUUGAACUUAAAUUGGAUUUUUUCCCAAAAAUGAUAAUUUUUUAUACAAGAGGAACUUCAGGGUUUGGCUUGGUUAAUCUUCUGGUCUUUUUCUUUGCUGAGAAAACAUAGACCAGACAGCAAAGAAUAAGAACUUAUUGGCUUCUUGGGAUGAUGAUGAUGAUGUGUAGGUCUGCCAUUGCCAUGAGGAGCACGACAAAGAGAUCUAAUAACCACAACUCUUUAAACUCUAAUUAGUCUUAAAAUUAGGCUAAAUUGUUUUCACUGCGAGAAAAAGAAACCACAAGAAACAGAGCAGGGGAAAAAGGAAGUAUAGUAAUAGAGAAACUAGAUUUUACCGUGAACUGAACCAGCAUUCAUGAGUAAAGCGUUAUUUCUUUUGUGUUUUGUUGUCUGACUUGGGUUGCCUAAAUGAACUUCAGUGACAACCUGAAUAUUUUGCGUUGUACCUGCAAGAGUAGGAGGGAAAAAGAUUCAGGUAUUCAUUUCAUGUAUACAAACAAGGAUUUCAUCAAAUACGAGAAAACACAAAAAUGAUUAAUUUAAUUACAUUGGAAGUGCAUAACACAAAGGAAACGCGUCGUUACAUCUAAAUGUAGUUCCCUUUGUUAAAUCAGUGUCUCAUUAAAGAUUAUAUGUUCAUAUACUAUACUUUUUUUGGGAGCAAAUUGCACUAUACUUUUAGAAUAAGAAAUAUAAAUAACUUGAAGCCUUUUUCAAAAAGAAAAACGAAAGAAAUAACCAUUAAAAAUAAUCUUAGUGACAUGUUCGUUGGAUGAUGUGCAAAAGAAAUUUACAUCCAAAAACUGUUUAGAAAACCAAACAAUAAUAAAAAAUCUGCACGUAGAAGGUAGUUAAAGUAAUUUUCACGAGGUUUUGGUUUAAAUAAUAAUGAAAAUUAUAUACAAUAUAUUGUAAGUAAAGUGUUAAAAAAGUGUUAAAAUAAUUUUUGAUGUAAUAUUAUUGCCAAUAAUGUAAUCUACAGUAUGUUUCUUUCAAUAUUUCAUUUUUGCAUUCCCAUAAUUUAUUUUUUCGUUUUAUAAUUUUUUUUAUAAAAUACAUAACAUAUGUAUUAUACAUUCAAAUACAUAAUUGGCAGUUUUAAAGUUAAAAUACAUUCAUAUAAUUAUAAAGUAAUACAAUCGAAGCUACCUUUGUAAUAGUUAAAUCUAGGUAGCAAUGAGCUCCAACAAACUGGUUAGGGUGUGGCUUUACGUGGUCUAGAAACCACUAAAGCUCACACUGGGUGAUUUUAAAAUUUGUUUUUUUUUAAUUAUUAUUGGAGACUAUAUAUAACAUGACGAUGAGGAAGCUGAAUAAAAAUAAAUAAAUCUUAGUUACCAUCUAAAUAUAGAUAUGUUAUCUUCUUAUCUAGAUGUUUACGUAAAACAUAUGUUAAAUUAAGAAUUAAUCUUUGUUUUAGUUUAAAUCAUUAAAUUCUCUUUUUAGUUUUUAUUGGCUUACGUCUUCAAAACAAAAUACAAACAAACCUGUGAGCAUAAUUUUUUGGUUUAAUUUAACUGAUUGAUUAGGUUCAUCAGUUUCACAAAAAGUAUGGUCAUGCAAUAUUGGUUUGAUAUACACAACAAAACUAUGUUAUUAGCUUAACCAAAUAAACUAAAAAUAAUUCUAGCUAGAUUAUUACAAUAAAAAUUAGUUAAACCAAAAUUUUGGUUUACUAUAGAUACCAAAAUUCUCUUACAGUCAGUGCCAAAAACAAUUCUCUUACAGUUAAUGAAAAUGAAGUUCUAAUGAAUUAAUUACUCAAUGAUUCACAAAUAUGCUAAUAUUUAUAUGGGAUGAACUAGCAACUUCUUUCAAAUAAUUAUCAAAGCAACAACCAAAAAAAUUAUAAAUGUAAAAAAUAUUUCAUUAACCAUGUAAGUUAUAUAUAAAAACUAAUCAAAAGAAUAAAAAAAGUUAUUGUUCGUCUCAACAUCAUUCAAAAUAUUUUACAUCAACUUCAUAAACAUUAUUCAAAGCUUCAAAGAAAAAAUUAAAACUAAAUAGAAAACAAAAAAACAUCAAACUACAUUAUUCGUGUUUACGGUGUUAGACGUGUUAUUCUUUCUUAUUUCAAAAAUUAUGAACCUACUUUAUACUAACAAAAACUUUGUGAUGAAAAAGUAAAAAAUUCAAAGUCAUAGUAAAAAUUCAGAAAAAUUAAAAUAAUGUACAAAUAUUCAGUUAAAAUUGGUAAAAAUAUAAUUAUAAAUAUUUUUAGAAAAUAAAUACAAAUAACAAAUGUCUCCUAUUAAUUACAAAUAUAAAAACAAUAAAUUUAAAUAUAUUAUCCGCGCGUAGCGCGGUCACAAUUCUAGUUUAUAUAAAUUGAACAUAAAUAGAAAAUAUUUAUCGAUUUAGUGUAUAUUAAUUUAUCAAAUAUUAUUUCUUGAGUGUUAUAUCUACUUUAUUAAAACAGAAGUACAAAAUAGAAAUACCCCUUAGUUUUACUACUUAUUUACAUUAGAAUGCCAUUGAGGUAUUUAUUGAACCUAUAUUUAAGCAUGCUUGUCUUUUCCUAAUUUAAAUCAUAGAUUUAAGCAUUUAAUAUCUUUCCAAAAUUUAAAUAAUAGAUUUCAUUUAUCAAAUCAUAACCAAAAUAAAUUUCCUAAUAUAUUUCGUAUUAACAUACUCAAUAUUUUUAAUAUUUAUAAGUAAUAAAUAAUAAAAUAAAAAAUCACACAUCAUAAUCAAUUUAUAUAACAUAUAAAUAAAAUAUAAAAUAGUUUAUUCAUAUAUUA